AUGGAAGUGGAUUACGUGGAGCUGGUGAUGCUCUGGAAAAUCCGCCACAAUUUCCGUUCAGUUGUGGCCCCUAUCUUACUAGAAAUAGGAGAGCUUAGCAAUAGUUUUACUUUAUUUGAUAUUCAACAUGUAAACCGAUCGGCAAAUUUUCCUGCGCAUCUCUGUGCUAAACAUGCUUGCACAUUGAAUAUAACGGAUUGCUGGCUAGAGGACACUCCUAGCUUCCUUGUGACCAGUCUUUUGGCUGAUUAUCUGAGGAAUGCUUUUGUUUGA
This 273-nucleotide ribosomal RNA is filed under the name Triticum aestivum (bread wheat). Its description in RNAcentral is "partial small subunit ribosomal RNA". The record is from RNAcentral. Lineage: Eukaryota; Viridiplantae; Streptophyta; Magnoliopsida; Poales; Poaceae.